AUGGUCUGCGGAAAGGCUCCUGUGUGGCCGCACCUGCCCGCGUGUGGGUGCAGCCUUGUACCAGGCAGCCCGAGCCUGACCUAGAGUAAAACCCCCCGGGGGGGCCCAGUUCCCCCCGGGGUUUGGGUUUGCAGUAACAGGUGUGAACAUUCUAGCAGCAGUUUGAUGAUCAUGUAUGAUACUGCAAACAGGA
This is a non-coding RNA of Vulpes vulpes (red fox), 193 nucleotides long. The record is from Ensembl. Lineage: Eukaryota; Metazoa; Chordata; Mammalia; Carnivora; Canidae.